UUAGGAAUCUUGCGCAAUGGGGGAAACCCUGACGCAGCCAUGCCGCGUGAAUGAUGAAGGUCUUAGGAUUGUAAAAUUCUUUCAGCGGGGACGAUAAUGACGGUACCCGCAGAAGAAGCCCCGGCUAACUUCGUGCCAGCAGCCGCGGUAAUACGAAGGGGGCUAGCGUUGCUCGGAAUUACUGGGCGUAAAGGGCGCGUAGGCGGAUGUUUAAGUCAGCGGUGAAAGCCCAGGGCUCAACCUUGGAACUGCCAUUGAUACUGGACAUCUUGAGUUCGGGAGAGGUGAGUGGAACGCCGAGUGUAGAGGUGAAAUUCGUAGAUAUUCGGCAGAACACCAGUGGCGAAGGCGACUCACUGGCCCGAUACUGACGCUGAGGCGCGAAAGCGUGGGGAGCAAACAGG
Molecule: ribosomal RNA, 404 nt
Filed under: uncultured bacterium
Lineage: Bacteria
Description: bacterial SSU rRNA
Rfam family: Bacterial small subunit ribosomal RNA
Source: RNAcentral